Molecule: small nuclear RNA, 215 nt
Filed under: Saccharomyces cerevisiae (brewer's yeast)
Lineage: Eukaryota; Fungi; Ascomycota; Saccharomycetes; Saccharomycetales; Saccharomycetaceae
Rfam family: U5 spliceosomal RNA (bases 56-180)
About the family: U5 RNA is a component of both types of known spliceosome. The precise function of this molecule is unknown, though it is known that the 5' loop is required for splice site selection and p220 binding, and that both the 3' stem-loop and the Sm site are important for Sm protein binding and cap methylation.
Source: RNAcentral
CAAGCAGCUUUACAGAUCAAUGGCGGAGGGAGGUCAACAUCAAGAACUGUGGGCCUUUUAUUGCCUAUAGAACUUAUAACGAACAUGGUUCUUGCCUUUUACCAGAACCAUCCGGGUGUUGUCUCCAUAGAAACAGGUAAAGCUGUCCGUUACUGUGGGCUUGCCAUAUUUUUUGGAACUUUUCUGCCCUUUUUCUCAAUGAGUAAGGAGGGCGU